CGCAAGCCUGAUGCAGCCAUGCCGCGUGUAUGAAGAAGGCCUUCGGGUUGUAAAGUACUUUCAGCAGUGAGGAAGGUGGAUAUGUUAAUAGCAUAUUCAUUUGACGUUAGCUGCAGAAGAAGCACCGGCUAACUCCGUGCCAGACAGCCGCGGUAAUACGGAGGGUGCGAGCGUUAAUCGGAAUUACUGGGCGUAAAGCGCAUGCAGGUGGUUGUUAAGUCAGAUGUGAAAGCCCGGGGCUCAACCUCGGAAUUGCAUUUGAAACUGGCAAACUAGAGUACUGUAGAGGGGGUAGAAUUUUCAGGUGUAGCGGUGAAAAUGCGUAGAGAUCUGAAGGAAUACCGGUGGCGAAGGCGGCCCCCUGGACAGAUACUGACACUCAGAUGCGAAAGCGUGGGGAGCAAACAGGAUUAGAUACCCCGGUAG
This 426-nucleotide ribosomal RNA is filed under the name uncultured bacterium. Its description in RNAcentral is "bacterial SSU rRNA". It matches the Rfam family "Bacterial small subunit ribosomal RNA", at positions 376 to 793 of the family's 1533-position model. The record is from RNAcentral.